GCAUCUCACACCCACUACUUACGCGCCAGGCGCCUCUUUGGACGCCACUCCACAGCCUCGUGUGUUAAGAGGCACACAAGAGCUGCCUGAUUGGCUCCCAAGCUGAGAACCGGGAGCCGGAGGAAAUCAUAGCGAAAUCUCAACCUGAUGUAGCCCCAUCAGCAUCACACACACACUCAGAGCAAAAUGGCCUGCUCUUCAAUGUAGCUUAGUUUAGUUCAAUUGUCCUGCCCACCCCCUCCUGACCCUCCUGCCGCUGAGGGGUGGUAUUUGAAAGAACAGCUGCUUGCACAUGUAACAGCUUCCAGGAUAACCAAUGAGCUGGAACCAGUAAGAUGUGGCUGGGGAAGGGGGCUUCUCAUCUGUCAGCUGGGGAGCCUCGUGGGGCCUUACAUGGACUCAACUUCUUACCAGUCCCAGAAGAGCACCCCAACGGCCCUGGGAUUUUCAACUCUGAAGCAUAAGACAAGUUAAUGAAGCAUCCAAUUCACACCAGCUUUUAUCUGUCAGAGAAACACCAGCAAGCAAGGUAGAGACACCAAGCCAAACCCUGAUGUGCAAGUAUGAACUUCAUGUUAAUUAGGAAGCGGAAGAAUGUGUGGGUUUCUCUAAUGCAGACUCAUCAUACGAAGUCAGCUGAUUCAAAUGCUCUCAACCUGAGCUUCGGGUCAUUUGUGUUAGCUGUAAGGCCAUCUGAGGCAGAUGCAUUGAACCUGACCUUGAGAGUAUCCUUGACCACUUGACCAAGAGGCCAGAGACUCUACAAGUGUGCUCAGGCCAGAUGGCUAACUCAACUAGUGCCUGGCAGGAAGACUCAAGAUGCCAGCUUCUCCCCUAAACCAUGUGAACAUUCAACCAUUUUAAACUACAAAAACAACAAUUUCAACCAAAACACUGGACCAUUGACUAUUUUACUGGAAGUUUCUCUCUUAGAGUAUGAUGAAAAGAGGAUUGGGUGUAAGAGACCUGGCUGCAAGGCUCACCUCCACUAAGUAGCCAUAGACAUUUUGGCCACUAAUGUGCUGUGAGUCACCUUAUUCCUCUGGUCCACAGCUUCUUCAUCUGGGAAAGGAAGACAUUGGAUUGUAAAGUAAGAAUAGCCCACAUUUUUUAGCGUUUGCAAUAUGCUAGGCAAUGUGCUAAUCGCUUGAUUAUUAAAGAGACAAUUAACAUUGAAAAGUAGUUAUUAACUCUUCAACACCCCAGCAGGUGGAGAUCGUCAUUAAUCCCAUUUAUCAGAUUGGGUCAUUGAGCUCAGGAUGGUGCAUGUGCUGCGUCUGAAAGGCUGGGGUCUGGUGCUCGCUUCUGGGCUGUUGAUGACUGGGUUCAGAUGCAUCAUUGUGCAUGCCUUUCUUAGCAGAGGAUUCCUUCCCGCUCUGCUAUGGACAAUUUACUGCUUUACAGUCUUUUCACCGGAGACCACUCACUGGCAGUGGCAUUUGUAGAAAGUAGCCUCUAAGCUGCAAAGCCCUGCCUGUCACCAGACCUACGUAGAGGGAUUCCCACUUGCUUUAUGAUGUUCAGAGUGCUCCUCGUGUUGCCCUGUGGGUUUUAUUUUCCUGUUUUCCACUGGAUAUGGUCAACUGGCAUUUACCAUGAAUUCCCAGCUCCUCCACAAGUUCUUCUUGUACUGCUAAGACUGAAAACUUAAACAAUACAUUUUCUACAAUCUCUUAUGUGGUGAGCAGAUAGAAACGUGGUCCCCAGUGAUCCCCACCCCCUGGUAUUCAUGCCCCUGUGGAAUCCUGCACCCCUGUCAGUGUGAGGUGAGCUAGUGACAUGUUCUAGCCAAUAGGAUGAUGGGAUGACAUGUGUAAUUAAGGGGAUAAGAUGUCACUUCCUUGAUUAGCUUACAAGAGAUUGUAACCUCCAUCUUGCCAGCAGACUCUCUGGCCAUCUCAGCUUCCAGGAUGUAAGCCCUCACAUUGCAGAGGUCCCUGUGGUAAGGAACUGGAGUGGAGGGUGGCUCUGCACAACAGCCAGCAAGGAACUGAGGCCUCUGUCACCCCUGGAGCAACUGAGCUCACCAACAACCCGAGUGAGCUUGGAAGCAGAGCUUUCCCCAGUUGGGCUUUCGGAUGAGACCCCAGCCCUAACUAAGGCACCAUGAUGGUAGCCACAGGAGACAUGGGACACAGCCAAGCCCACCUGGAUCCCUGAUCCACAGAAAUUGUAAGACGAUAAAUGUGUGCCAAGUUUGCUGU
Long non-coding RNA from Pan troglodytes (chimpanzee), 2204 nucleotides. RefSeq lists it as uncharacterized. The transcript has 3 exons. The record is from RefSeq and is a predicted model, not a curated record. NCBI's taxonomy places the organism in Eukaryota, Metazoa, Chordata, Mammalia, Primates, Hominidae.